GUGAGGAAUAUUGGUCAAUGGCCGAGAGGCUGAACCAGCCAUGCCGCGUGCGGGAAGACGGCCCUAUGGGUUGUAAACCGCUUUUUUGUGGGAGCAAUAAGUUGCACGUGUGCAAUGAUGAGAGUACCAUGAGAAUAAGCAUCGGCUAACUCCGUGCCAGCAGCCGCGGUAAUACGGAGGAUGCGAGCGUUAUCCGGAUUUAUUGGGUUUAAAGGGUGCGUAGGCGGAUUUUUAAGCGUGAGGUGAAAUGCCCGGGCUCAACCUGGGAACUGCCUCGCGAACUGGGAGUCUUGAAUGCCCCUGCCGUGGGAGGAAUGUGUGGUGUAGCGGUGAAAUGCAUAGAGAUCACACAGAACACCGAUUGCGAAGGCAUCUCACGAAGGGGUGAUUGACGCUGAGGCACGAAAGCGUGGGGAUCAAACAGG
This 425-nucleotide ribosomal RNA is filed under the name uncultured rumen bacterium. RNAcentral describes it as "bacterial SSU rRNA". It matches the Rfam family "Bacterial small subunit ribosomal RNA", at positions 354 to 776 of the family's 1533-position model. The record is from RNAcentral.